Molecule: ribosomal RNA, 1343 nt
Filed under: uncultured bacterium
Lineage: Bacteria
Description: 16S ribosomal RNA
Rfam family: Bacterial small subunit ribosomal RNA
Source: RNAcentral
GACGAACGCUGGCGGCGUGCUUAACACAUGCAAGUCGAACGGAAAGGCCCUGCUUUUGUGGGGUGCUCGAGUGGCGAACGGGUGAGUAACACGUGAGUAACCUGCCCUUGACUUUGGGAUAACUUCAGGAAACUGGGGCUAAUACCGGAUAGGAGCUCCUGCUGCAUGGUGGGGGUUGGAAAGUUUCGGCGGUUGGGGAUGGACUCGCGGCUUAUCAGCUUGUUGGUGGGGUAGUGGCUUACCAAGGCUUUGACGGGUAGCCGGCCUGAGAGGGUGACCGGCCACAUUGGGACUGAGAUACGGCCCAGACUCCUACGGGAGGCAGCAGUGGGGAAUAUUGCACAAUGGGCGGAAGCCUGAUGCAGCAACGCCGCGUGCGGGAUGACGGCCUUCGGGUUGUAAACCGCUUUCGCCUGUGACGAAGCGUGAGUGACGGUAAUGGGUAAAGAAGCACCGGCUAACUACGUGCCAGCAGCCGCGGUGAUACGUAGGGUGCGAGCGUUGUCCGGAUUUAUUGGGCGUAAAGGGCUCGUAGGUGGUUGAUCGCGUCGGAAGUGUAAUCUUGGGGCUUAACCCUGAGCGUGCUUUCGAUACGGGUUGACUUGAGGAAGGUAGGGGAGAAUGGAAUUCCAGGUGGAGCGGUGGAAUGCGCAGAUAUCAGGAGGAACACCAGUGGCGAAGGCGGUUCUCUGGGCCUUUCCUGACGCUGAGGAGCGAAAGCGUGGGGAGCGAACAGGCUUAGAUACCCUGGUAGUCCACGCUGUAAACGGUGGGUACUAGGUGUGGGGUCCAUUCCACGGGUUCCGUGCCGUAGCUAACGCUUUAAGUACCCCGCCUGGGGAGUACGGCCGCAAGGCUAAAACUCAAAGGAAUUGACGGGGCCCCGCACAAGCGGCGGAGCAUGCGGAUUAAUUCGAUGCAACGCGUAGAACCUUACCUGGGUUUGACAUGGAUCGGGAGCGCUCAGAGAUGGGUGUGCCUCUUUUGGGGUCGGUUCACAGGUGGUGCAUGGCUGUCGUCAGCUCGUGUCGUGAGAUGUUGGGUUAAGUCCCGCAACGAGCGCAACCCUUGUUCACUGUUGCCAGCACGUUAUGGUGGGGACUCAGUGGAGACCGCCGGGGUCAACUCGGAGGAAGGUGGGGAUGACGUCAAGUCAUCAUGCCCCUUAUGUCCAGGGCUUCACGCAUGCUACAAUGGCUGGUACAGAGAGUGGCGAGCCUGUGAGGGUGAGCGAAUCUCGGAAAGCCGGUCUCAGUUCGGAUUGGGGUCUGCAACUCGACCUCAUGAAGUCGGAGUCGCUAGUAAUCGCAGAUCAGCAACGCUGCGGUGAAUACGUUCCCGGG